ACUAGGAAGCUUAUCAGGAACCCACGCAGUCUGCCUUUCUGUCUUCUCCAAGGAGAAGGCUGAGAGGGGAGAGAACAAGCAAAUGCGCCAAAGCCGUAAAUCUGCACGACUACCGCCUGCCCCUGCCAUCCUGCCACUGCAGUGAAAAAAACGUUAAAAAAAAAAAACUUAAAAUCUAUAAAACACCGAGGCUUUUAUUGUUUGAAUUCAGAACCUUCUGCUAAGGAGAAGCUUUUAAACUCCCAGAAUCCAAGAACCUCUCCCGUUCCUGAUGACCAAGAAUGUCGGAACAGGGAAGACGAGCAAAAUCCCAGAAGCAAAGGAAAAAGAUGAUCAUGGUAACGUGACAAUUUCCAUCGCUGCAGCUGGAGAGAGGCGUAGCUCUUGCCAACAUCCGCUGACGUCUCCCUUUGCCAACCCCUAAAAUAGAAACCCCUGAGAAAAAACAGGAGCAUCCCUCAGAAACACAAGAAGUCUGUCUAAGAUUUGGUUACAUGUAAAGAUUGGCUUCUGCUGGCUUUGCUCUUACAGAAUUCCCACCGAGCUGCUUGCCUGCCUCUGAGUCACUCAGCAGCCAGCCUCCCUCUUUGGGAAAAGAAACAUGUGUAAACUUGCUGAACAAGUCUCUCAGACUCCGAUUUGACUCUGCAAUGCCAGGCAACUGGGGUGACUGACAAUGGAAUGUUCUCUAUGAAAAACCAGAUGCCUGUUGUGACCAGAUGGUGAAAAUAAGUUUCUAUUACCUUGUAACUCUCUCUCUUGUGUGUCUGCACACACACACACACACACACACACACACACACACAGACACACACACACACACACACACACACACACCUUUCUCAUCUCUGUAUCAUGAAGCUUCUGGAAGUGCUUCUCUGUUUUUAUGCAUAUUAUGCCUAUUUAUAUAGCAAACAACUGAGAACGUUUCUACAUAUGUUUUCAAGGUCCCUGCCUGCUACUGAAACUUUUCUAUUUUCAGCUCCUUUUUACCAGUCCAUUUUCAACAGAAUCCAUGGAAUAUAUAUUGUCCAGAAAAGAGUCUCUCGUAAAGAAAAAGGAUGGUAUUUGUAGUAUCAUUCAUAAUACAUGUAGCAGUGGAAAGUAAUAAAGCUGCAUCAAAACAUGAAGAUGAGGACUUGAGUUUAGAUGCCUGGCAUCCACACACAAAACUAGGCAUGGUGGUGUGCAUGUGUGAUCAUCAUGGCUGUGAAAAUUGAGAGGUGCGUGGGUUCGUGGAACUCAGCUGCCACCAUACUAGUCAAUUGGUGAACAUCAGUGAGAAGCCCUUUGUUAAAUAUUAUGGACACACAGAGAGAUAGAAAACAACCUGUAUUCCUUUCCUCAAACACAGGCAUGUACACACCUAUACACACACGCAUGUGUGCGUGCGCGCGUGUGCACACACACACACACAUAGAGUUCAUAUACAAAUAUGAAGCAUUAAGACUACAUCAGACAUAAGCAGGAAAGAGAAAAAAGAAUACUCCUGAGAAAGUAGAAAUAAGAAUGGUAGGCUAAAGAUGAAUGAAAUGGAAAUUUUAAAUGAGUUUAAAGAAUUAACCGGGAGGGGGGGUGACACAAUAGAAAACAGAAAGGAAUACAGAAGUAUGAAUAGCUGGUGUCCCAAGGGGACAGCAAUAACACAUUCAAUGAUGCACUGUAAGAAAGUUUUCCUGAAACUUAGUAGGAGAAAAUGAAAACAGAUUGACCUCAAUAUGCAUCUAAGUAUAGGAGAGGAUGUAGAGUAAAAUGUUCCAGAGGCAUGUCCAACAAAUUACAAUGUCUGAGCAGGCUCUGAACUAGCAAAAGUGAACAUUGAUCAUACAUCUGUCCAUGUCCGGGGUGCUCUCAUGUGUACUGCUACACCCAGGCAAGUGUUCCUCACGCUGUCCGUCUUGCUCAGGCAAGUGACCGUCCUCAAUGUUACUACUUCUUUUAUGAUCUUUUCCUUAGUUUAAAGAUCAUGACACAAAGGAGUUCCCCAGGUCUCCCUGGAGAAAGUGGCAAGAUGGGAAAGGCUACACAGACUAUAUUUAGCAGCAGCAAUAGGCAAAGGGAGAAAGAUAUAGUCUCUGAAACUGAUACUUGGUUGAGGUCUGGGGUAGUGGUGGUGAAAAUUGUAGUGUCUAGUACUUGGUAGCAACAAGUACAAUUUCUUUUUUGGAUUGUCUUAUUUUGUCUUUAUUUUGGGUGUUCAGGUGCACAGAGUUGAGUUAUAAUAAUUGUGUGCCUAAGAUUAUAAUGAUUGGUUCAUAUAUGGCAACCCUUUUCAAAACUUUCAUUCUUUAUUUCCCAAAUUAUUUCACUUUCAGGGUAUAAGUAAAAUUAUAAAUGUGACUAUAUUGGUACGCAUGUACUCGUGAAAAAGUUAAAUACAUAAAUCUGCAUGUAUCCAGUCUGCUUACUUUUACUUUAGGAACAUGUAAUUUUAAUUAACAAAAUAGUUUAGGGUUGCAGAACUCAUCCCGUCUUAAUAUGCUGUGUCAAUAUAGAGUUCCGCAUCUGUCUAUGAUGCUUUUCAUAUAUCUGCCUUUGGGGUGUUGCCUGUGUUUCUUUGGCUUCUGCUUCGUGAGAUUGCAUGCUACCCACACUAGUUUUGCAAACCCUUUUCCCCAAGGAACGGACAAGUGAAUUUCUUUUUACUCUAUGCAUCAAAAUAAUGGUUUGAUAUCUGUGCUGCUAAUCUAAUCUUUGUAAAUUGGUGUGAGAAUUUCAUUGAGAUGUGUUUCCGGCCCCAUGUUAGUGAAUCAUAUGGUAGGCUCAGUGUUAAUGUAGCUGAGAAGUUGUAGUCUCAAGCAGAACACAUGGAGGAUGAUGGAUAAAGGGAUGACUGAUGCCAAAAACAUGACUGUCAGAUUUUCUAGUUUUUACUAAUCUGACAGACAUUAAGUUGUGUGUUUUUCUAACAAGCAGUGGUAUUGUAUACCUGUUUGUGAACAUAUUAUGCCCACAUGCCACUUUUCUGUGGAAUUUCUUCCUUAACUGGUUUGAAGUACCAAAUCAUAUAGGUUACAUGCCCAUUAUUUAUACUUAAAGGCAUUGCAAGUAUCUUUUAUGAAUAUGUCUCUAAACUCUACCUAUAAUGUUUUUCAUUAGACAGAAGUAUGUGUAUUUGCUAUGUCCUUCUUUCCCCAACUUUUGUGUUUGUGGUAUUUCCGAAGUAGGAGGAUCUUAAAAGCAUUCUGUUUGUAGUUUUUAUUUUCAUUGUCUUUUACCUUUUAAUGCAAGAUCUCUUCAUUUUGUCCACCUUAGUAGUAACAAGAUGUAUUUUAUGUGAUAAAGAGAGCCUUUCCCCAAUACUAUUUUGCAGCUAAUUUUUGCCCAAUGAUUUUGGAUACCACGUUUACCAUGGAUACUAAAUUCUCAGUUCUAUUUAAGUCUUUUGAGGAAUUAUGUUCUGUAGGUCUAUAUUCCUAUUCAUAUAUUAUUUGGCACUUUGAUGAUGAUCAUGGAUUUAUUCAUAUGCCAAAGCAUAUCUAAACCAAAUAAAGUCAAAUUUGUACUGUUUAUUUUAUAUCAAUUAAACCUUAGUAUGAUUGUUAGAACACUAA
Rattus norvegicus (Norway rat) is the source of this 3554-nucleotide non-coding RNA. NCBI's taxonomy places the organism in Eukaryota, Metazoa, Chordata, Mammalia, Rodentia, Muridae. The record is from RefSeq and is a predicted model, not a curated record.